This 980-nucleotide non-coding RNA is filed under the name Bleda syndactylus (Common bristlebill). RNAcentral describes it as "partial 12S ribosomal RNA". It matches the Rfam family "Bacterial small subunit ribosomal RNA". The record is from RNAcentral. Lineage: Eukaryota; Metazoa; Chordata; Aves; Passeriformes; Pycnonotidae.
AAAGACUUAGUCCCAACCUUACUGUUGGUUGUUGCUAGACUUAUACAUGCAAGUAUCCGCGUUCCAGUGAGUAUGCCCUAGGUUCCUUAACCCCAGGACGACAGGAGCGGGCAUCAGGCACACUCCACAACAGUAGCCCAAGACGCCUAGCAAUUGCCACGCCCCCACGGGUACACAGCAGUAACUAAUAUUAAGCCAUGAGUGUAAACUUGACUUAAUCAUAGCAAAUCAGAGCGGUAAAUCCUGUGCCAGCCACCGCGGUCAGACAGGAGGCUCGAAUCAACUUUACAGACGGCGUAAAGUGUGGUAGCAUGUUAUCCAAGUAGCUAAGAUUAAAAGACAACUGAGCUGUCAUAAGCCCAAGAUGCUAGUAAGGCCGCUAUUCAAAGAAAAUCUUAGACUAACGAUUAAUUGAAAUCCACGAAAGCCAGGGCCCAAACUGGGAUUAGAUACCCCACUAUGCCUGGCCCUAAAUCUUGAUGCUCGAUCUAACCGGAGCAUCCGCCUGAGAACUACGAGCACUAACGCUUAAAACUCUAAGGACCUGGCGGUGUCCCAAAUCCACCUAGGGGAGCCUGUUCUAUAAUCGAUGAUCCACGAUAUACCUAACCAUUCCUUGCCAGAAUCAGCCUAUAUACCGCCGUCUCCAGCCCACCCAGCAUGAAGGACCAGCAGUGGACGCAAUAGCCUCACCCCGCUAGUAAGACAGGUCAAGGUAUAGCCUAUGGAAUGGGAGUAAUGGGCUACAUUUUCUAGACUAGAACAUAACGGCAAAGGGACAUGAAACUGUCCUUGGAAGGCGGACUUAGCAGUAAAGCGGGAUAAUCGAGCCCUCUUUAAGCCGGCUCUGGGGCACGUACACACCGCCCGUCGCCCUCCUCAAAAGCGACCGAAACCCCACCAUAACUUAAUACGCUACGCAGCCGAAGAGGAGGUAAGUCGUAACAAGGUAAGUGUACCGGAAGGUGCACUUAGUACAC